This 501-nucleotide ribosomal RNA is filed under the name uncultured bacterium. RNAcentral describes it as "partial 16S ribosomal RNA". It matches the Rfam family "Bacterial small subunit ribosomal RNA", at positions 30 to 523 of the family's 1533-position model. The record is from RNAcentral.
AUUGAACGCUGGCGGCAGGCUUAACACAUGCAAGUCGAGCGGGGGAAGGUAGCUUGCUACCGGACCUAGCGGCGGACGGGUGAGUAAUGCUUAGGAAUCUGCCUAUUAGUGGGGGACAACAUCUCGAAAGGGAUGCUAAUACCGCAUACGUCCUACGGGAGAAAGCAGGGGAUCUUCGGACCUUGCGCUAAUAGAUGAGCCUAAGUCGGAUUAGCUAGUUGGUGGGGUAAAGGCCUACCAAGGCGACGAUCUGUAGCGGGUCUGAGAGGAUGGUCGGCCACACGGGGACUGAGACACGGCCCGGACUCCUACGGGAGGCAGCAGUGGGGAAUAUUGGACAAUGGGGGGAACCCUGAUCCAGCCAUGCCGCGUGUGUGAAGAAGGCCUUAUGGUUGUAAAGCACUUUAAGCGAGGAGGAGGCUACUCUAGUUAAUACCUAGGGAUAGUGGACGUUACUCGCAGAAUAAGCACCGGCUAACUCUGUGCCAGCCGCCGCCGUAA